UCAAUAGCAAACAUUAGUUGCAAAUAUCCUUCACUUGUGUUUUCUCACUAUUGGUAUGGUAGAUAAUUGUUUGUUCACUUGUGUUGAGAUAGUCCAUGUUUGCUCACGUGUGUCGAGGUAGAUAAUGACCUAAUCGGGUGUUGCUAGGAGGUUGUGCAAAUAUGUAGUUCUGAGUAGAUUAGAGUUUUAAACUCCCUUCAGUUAUGUAAGGUGAGAUUUGAAGCUUUUUAUUUCUUAUUUGACUAGUUAGAGUGUCGUAUUAGUUAUGAUUUUGUCUUGGCACUUUUAUAAUUAUAAACCACUUGCUUUAUAUUAAACUUUUGGAUAGUUCUUUGAAAUUGUAUGUUGCUAUUUUUCUCUCUUCAAUUCUAUAGUAUAUUUGCUUCAUGGAAGAGUUAUGUGCUAAUUAACUUGUUCAAUGUCUUCUGGAUGAACUGAUUAUCAUAUUUCUUCUGGAUAUGCCCAAUGAUGAAUGCUCAUUGUGAGAUAUGGUACUGUGAAUAUUAUUCAAAGCCUUCCAUCUCUUCUGCCUUUCUUCCCACUGCCAUCACUAACUUUGCUGCUGCUGCUGCUCUUCUUCUUCUUCCACUUCCUCUUUUUCUUCUUGUUGUGGUUAUUGUCAUUAUUAUUAUUAUUAUUAUUAUUAUUUAUUGCUGGCAGUGGGUAGAGAUGGUGGAGGUUGUGGGUCUUAUGUGCUUUGAUGGAUGUUGAAAAAAUACCAAUUGGAGAUAUCUGAGGGCAUAGUUGGUUCUUUUGAGUUAGAAAUUUAGAAUAAUUAUCAUACAUUACUUCUGUCUCACAAACAAUCAAGCUAUGUGGUUCGCAUGUUCUUAUUUAUGCUUUUUUUUUUUGCUAACUUGAUUGUUCUUGUGUUUCAUGAUGUCUUGUCACUAAUGUGUUAUGGUGCUUCUUCUGCCUUCCCUCCCUUUUUCUGUGUUAUGUUUGAUGCCCGUUCAUGUUUAGGUGUAAUGAUUGAUGAGGAGGGUAUAGAAGGUUUCAGUGUUUGUAACCUGACACUGGCUUCAGCCCUCGUUUUUUUUUUUUUUUUACUUAUUCUGCUAUUUAAGUUAUUUUUAAAUUUCUAUUCAAUCCCCUAUAUAGAGGCAAUAAAAUUUGAUCAUUGCGGUUCUUUAAAAAACUGCUAAAGUAAAUUUGUUGAGACGGACAGAAAAGUGGUUUCGAUAUUAAACUUGAGCAGCAGGUCCGAUUAUUGCUUAUUGUGGUUGUUGCUAAAGAUGUUGGCUCGGAAAUACUCUUGAUCUGUAAUUUUUUCUUGUUCUGUCUUCCAUUUGGAUAGAGUUUUAUAGAGGAGACGUCAUGUUUAUGGGAAAAAUGUGCACUGCUCGGUUUUGAAAUUAUUUGCUUAAAUUCAGGCGAAAUACGGUCGUCAGAUUGGGAAAAAUGAGAUAAAUAAUUAGAUUGACUCACUUCCAUUCCAUCAAGCAAAAACUUAGAUCCCUACCAAAAAAAGGCAUUAUCACUGAUGCUGUAUAGUCUUUUUAACUAGAAUUAUGCUAAUUUAUUUUAUUCUAAUUUUUACUAUCAUCCAACGCAAGGUUCUGAGAUUAUUCAAUGUUUUUUAGUAAUCUCAAUUUGAAGUCUUGGAUUUGCAACUGCAAAUACUUAAAAGAGAAAGUUUUAUC
Molecule: long non-coding RNA, 1643 nt
Filed under: Glycine max (soybean)
Lineage: Eukaryota; Viridiplantae; Streptophyta; Magnoliopsida; Fabales; Fabaceae
Description: long non-coding RNA (GMAX_LNC004629)
Source: RNAcentral